AUGAUUAUCCUGUGAACUUAGGACAUGUUUGGAUCACUUAUUUUAAAUUAUAAAAUCGAAAUGAAAUUCAUUGAUUCCAAUUAUUAUUGUUUGCUUUAUAGGAAUCGAAUUUUGAAUUUCAUUUCACUUUGAAAUGGAAAUGAUACAAUUCGGCUUUGAAUCUUGGAUUGGCCAAUUUUAAAAUAAACUACUUAAAAUCUUUCUUCAUCAACGCCUCCUCUUCUCCCUUCGUUGCUUUUUCUAUUUCUUAAUUAAAAUCAUCUCUCAAAAAUUUUAAAUUUUUAUUCCGAUUUUCAUUCUAAUAAUAAACCAAAUAUUUGUAAAUGUUUCUUCGUCAUUCCAAUUUUUUUUGGAAAAACUUCAAAAAUCCUCCUUGUGGUUUCACACUUUCUUAUUUUAGUACACUGUGGUUUAAAGUGUAUCAAGUUAGUACCCUGUGGUUUCUCACUUUAUCAUUUUAGUACCCUGUGGUUUUACACUUUAUCACUUUAGUAUCCUGUGGUUUCACACUUUAGUAUCCUGUGAUUUAAAAAACCACAUGAUACUAACUUGAUACAAAAUUAAAAUCACAGAGUACUAAAGUGAUAAAGUGCAAAAUCACAGGGUACUAACUUGAUACACUUUAAACCACAGGGUACUAAAGUGAUAAAGUAAGAAACCACAGGGUACUAACUUGAUACAUUUUAAACCACAUGUUAUUAAAGUGAAAAAAAUUGAAACUACAAGGGAGGUUUUUGAAGUUUUCUCAUUUUUUUUCAAAGCAAUCUAAUUUUAUAUUUUAUUUUUAUUUCAAUUAUGAACCAAACAUGCCUUU
This 814-nucleotide long non-coding RNA is filed under the name Ananas comosus (pineapple). RNAcentral's name for it is "long non-coding RNA (ACOM_LNC022757)". Lineage: Eukaryota; Viridiplantae; Streptophyta; Magnoliopsida; Poales; Bromeliaceae. The record is from RNAcentral.